CGCUUCUCCCGUUGAGAGGAAAAAACGGGAGAAGCCCCGGCACCCA
Molecule: transfer RNA, 46 nt
Filed under: Cnemaspis auriventralis (Erawan rock gecko)
Lineage: Eukaryota; Metazoa; Chordata; Lepidosauria; Squamata; Gekkonidae
Description: partial tRNA-Cys
Source: RNAcentral